Molecule: non-coding RNA, 1215 nt
Organism: Pelobates cultripes (western spadefoot toad)
Lineage: Eukaryota; Metazoa; Chordata; Amphibia; Anura; Pelobatidae
Source: the annotation of a GenBank genome assembly
GGGGAGUCUGUGGGCGGAUUACUCUAGGGUGUGGGCAAUCUCUUCUGAAGUGGCCGGGCUGAUUACAGUUAAAACAGGUCCGGAUUGUCGUGAGGGUCCGGUCCCGGGGAGAGGGGAUAGAUGCAGGCAGUGUCUGGGGUAACUGAGUGUAUUGUUGGGGGAGUAUCUGAGGAACUUGGUUAGGACUGACAAUUGGUGCAGAGGUAGUAUACAUCAGAGGGCUAGUUCUUCGCUGUGUGGGUUGCAGAACAGAUUCUAAACCCUUGGCUACCAGCAAAAGUGUGUCCAGUGGAAUAAUUCUGUACUCUGGGCGAGCUAAAAUCAACCCCUUACGAAUGUGUUCCCUAAGGCCAGCCACAAAGGCUGCAGAUAACAUCUGGGUGUGUGCUUUGUUAUAGGUGCUGAACCCUAAGUCUGAGAAAGUCUGAGUCAAUCUGGAGUGGUACUUUUCAACAGUCUCAAGCUUAUCCUGAAUUAUGUCAUUUAUACAAGUAGCCUGAUCUGCUAAUUUAUCCUGUGCCCAAGCUCGGAGCUGCUCACAGAAAAUUUCACCAGAACGAAAAUCUGUAUCAGAAGUGAGUGGAGCGUCAUUAAAGCUCCGUUCCAUGAUUGGCCAGUAUGCAUCUCCAGCCUUUAUUUCACACAAACUUAUAAGAUCCCGCCAGGCAGCGGAAUAUGUUUUUCGGAUUUGAGCCAUCCUGCGGAAAAAGGGCAUGGGGUGUUUCUCAGGAUCUGGGAGUGAGGUCACAAGGGUAGCAGCUUGGGAAGGGUUGAAGGUAACAUACAUGGGUGGUGCACCAUCCGCUUCAUGGUUAAUCUGGGUAUAACCCUGGGGGAUAGAGAGCCGUUGGGGGAGCCUGUUCCCCCCUGGGCGAGGUGAAUCCUGUUCUACCACAACAAUCUCCUUGGGUGCUACUGGGCCACGGGGCAGAGUAGUCUCAGGGGUAGCUGUGGCAGGGGCGGCAGGGAGACCGGUGAUGGGAGAGGUAGUUGGGUGGAAGCCCGAGGCCUGGGGGGAAGCACCCACUGCAUAGGGUUGAUCCGACGUCACAGACACUUCGGAUCCAACCACCAUGAUUGGAUAACUAGCGCUGGUGGGAGAGACAUGAGGGACCAAUGCCAUGGAUGGGGUUGCUGUGGGGGCCGGCUGAGAUGGGCGUGAGAGGUGGGUAUUUAGGACAUGAGCGAGAGCAGUGAUUGGAUCGGAAGGCUCGG